RNAcentral lists this ribosomal RNA (490 nucleotides) under uncultured bacterium. RNAcentral's name for it is "partial 16S ribosomal RNA". It matches the Rfam family "Bacterial small subunit ribosomal RNA", at positions 30 to 507 of the family's 1533-position model. The record is from RNAcentral.
AUUGAACGCUGGCGGCAUGCUUUACACAUGCAAGUCGGACGGCAGCACAGAGAAGCUUGCUUCUUGGGUGGCGAGUGGCGCACGGGUGAGUAACAUAUCGGAACGUACCGAGCAGUGGGGGAUAACUAAUCGAAAGAUUAGCUAAUACCGCAUAUUUUCUGAGGAAGAAAGCAGGGGACCUUUGGGCCUUGCGCUGUUUGAGCGGCCGAUAUCUGAUUAGCUAGUUGGUGGGGUAAAGGCCUACCAAGGCGACGAUCAGUAGCGGGUCUGAGAGGAUGAUCCGCCACACUGGGACUGAGACACGGCCCAGACUCCUACGGGAGGCAGCAGUGGGGAAUUUUGGACAAUGGGCGCAAGCCUGAUCCAGCCAUGCCGCGUGUCUGAAGAAGGCCUUCGGGUUGUAAAGGACUUUUGUCAGGGAAGAAAAGGGCGGGGUUAAUACCCCUGUCUGAUGAUGGUACCUGAAGAAUAAGCACCGGCUAACUACGUG